CCUACGGGAGGCAGCAGUGGGGAAUAUUGGACAAUGGGCGAAAGCCUGAUCCAGCCAUGCCGCGUGUGUGAAGAAGGUCUUCGGAUUGUAAAGCACUUUAAGUUGGGAGGAAGGGUUGUAGAUUAAUACUCUGCAAUUUUGACGUUACCGACAGAAUAAGCACCGGCUAACUCUGUGCCACCACCCGCGGUAAU
RNAcentral lists this ribosomal RNA (194 nucleotides) under uncultured Pseudomonas sp. RNAcentral's name for it is "partial 16S ribosomal RNA". It matches the Rfam family "Bacterial small subunit ribosomal RNA", at positions 338 to 524 of the family's 1533-position model. Lineage: Bacteria; Pseudomonadati; Pseudomonadota; Gammaproteobacteria; Pseudomonadales; Pseudomonadaceae. The record is from RNAcentral.